Long non-coding RNA from Eufriesea mexicana, 715 nucleotides. RefSeq lists it as uncharacterized. NCBI's taxonomy places the organism in Eukaryota, Metazoa, Arthropoda, Insecta, Hymenoptera, Apidae. The transcript has 4 exons. The record is from RefSeq and is a predicted model, not a curated record.
GUCGUGUAAAAAUUGUAAGAUCGUUGUAAUUAUAGUGACAAGGAACACGCAACAUGCAUCGAAAUACGAAAGCCAUGAUCAGCCUGUACAUCUGCGUCCGUCGUCAUCCUCGUCGAAGUUGCAGCAGCGUUAUCGAGGGCCCGGCGGCGUAAAAUUAGCUAGACCAGCCAGAAAAAUAUUCCAGUGUCUGGAUUUUGGGAGCGUAUCUGGACGGGUAUUGCAGAACGUGACUUUCAAGAAUUCGAUUGAGACAAUGUGAGAAAUAAUGAGCAGAAAAACAGAUAUAAAUUUAACGACGAGCGAGCGGAAUUCCGGGCAGGAUUGAAAUAUUGGCAAAACUUCGUUCAACCCUGAUUAAACAUUGCUGGAUAAAAAGGAUUCGAGAUGAAAAUGAAGGUGGAGAGGAAAUAGAUUCUGAGGUCGACCAACCAUCGUUACAAUUCAUACACUCACGAGUGGAAUUUUUAUGAUCUUCGAUCCAUUAGCUAUAUUAAAUUAAAUCGCAAUAAUCGAUUUUAUUCCAACCCAAUCACCAGAAUUUAAAAAUGCGUCUGUGAAAACGCGGGAAUUCCGAAAUAAAUGAAUUAUCGGGUUCGAAAUUAUGACAUGGAUAAAUUACUUCAGCUCUGAUCAGAUAUAUCAAGAUCAUGAUUGGAAAUCACAGAGUGAGGAUUAGGGAGUUAUGACAAUUUUUUCGGCCUUCGAUUUUACACUU